UACGUAGGGUGCGAGCGUUGUCCGGAUUUAUUGGGCGUAAAGAGCUCGUAGGCGGUCUGUCGCGUCUGCUGUGAAAACUCAGGGCUUAACCCUGAGCUUGCAGUGGGUACGGGCAGACUAGAGUGCGGUAGGGGAGACUGGAAUUCCUGGUGUAGCGGUGAAAUGCGCAGAUAUCAGGAGGAACACCGGUGGCGAAGGCGGGUCUCUGGGCCGUAACUGACGCUGAGGAGCGAAAGCGUGGGGAGCGAACAGG
This 253-nucleotide ribosomal RNA is filed under the name uncultured bacterium. RNAcentral describes it as "partial 16S ribosomal RNA". It matches the Rfam family "Bacterial small subunit ribosomal RNA", at positions 524 to 776 of the family's 1533-position model. The record is from RNAcentral.